GUGACCCAGUGGCCUUGGAUCCAGAAAGAAUGUAGAGGUCUCCCUACGUGUUUGACUGCAUUGCCCUUUGGACUUGCUGAUCUGCCACUGUCCUAGUUACCUGGAGGCAGGCAAUUCUACUUUAGAUUUGCCCAACGGUUGGUUAUACUUUCUGGCUUGCUAAUGACACUUAUCCUCUCUGUGGGACUCAGACUAUCUCACCUCCCUCUGAGAUGCCAAGAUGUCCUUGGAGACCUAAAUACUGAACUUUGCCAAAUCCAUGACAGAGCAUACAGGAGCAGCUGCCCUCUUCUGUUCUUGAGGUGGCUGGCCACAUGCCCAGAACUGCCUUGGGAGCCACAGUGCUGGACCACAAAUGAUUUCUACUACAUGGUCAGUGCAUGGGGAACAAUACAGGAGUGUGAGAAGAAAGGACGGAUUACCAUAGCCCCAGAAACCCAGAUCUGCGGAGUGAGAUACAAAAUGAAGACAGAAAAUAGUACCCUGAAGUCACCUAGGAAAAAUGUUUCCAGAAAUUUUUGAAAAAUCAUGGAACACAUGGUCUAAUAACAGGACAGGAUAUUGGCAAUCAGAGCUGCUCUGGAAAUCAGGACCACCACCCCCCUUGGAAAUCUGAAACACAUGGCCCCAGUAAUUAAGGGCAUGGAACUUUACCCUGAGACCACAAGUGUCCCCUGCUGCCCUCAGUCAUGAUGUGGACGGAAGACAAGAUGGGGAGAUCAGGACAAAGAGCAACAUACUCCUGGGCCCCUCCCUCUUCCAGCUCAUGUGAUUUACACACAUUCAUACACCCAAGUUCAGUAAUAAAAACUACAUGCCUACCAACCUGAUUUGAAUCACCCAUUCCUUUUAAAGGGAGAUUUUCCCCCACUCUUUUGAAAUAGCAUGAAAUAUAAACUGAACAGUCUAAAAUGUCCACUCCCACCUUCCUUAUACAUUUGCCAGAAGCCAAUCUGGCCAUUUAUUUUUUCAAGGAAUCCAUUUGCAUCUCUUUACCAUCAUAUUUCAAACUGGAGUGAGAAAUGGCUCAGGGACUUGGAGACGGCCUCAUUUUGGGUCCUAAACCUGUCUGUUUCUCUUCACCAUCCCGGAAUGAUCACAAGGUCUUCUGAUAGAAGAUGAGAGUGGAAAUCAGGUUUCUUGGCAAUCACUUGACUCAAUGUGUUUGAAUCUCCUGCUGACCAAAUGUUUUGCAGAUGCUUCAUCUACAACAUGCAUAUGUGUGUGCUGGGGAGGGAGAGGAGAGACGGCUGAACCAGUCAGGGCUGGAAGGAUUUGUGUUGGGAAUACCAGUGAGAUACCUCCUGUCUCUUCCAUUGCAGUAGUCCAUUGAGGAGUUUACUUUCUUAUAGUUCAUCUUGGCAGUGGCUCCCUUUGAGGUUCAAAAAGCUGAGGGAGGCUUGCUUUUCCACACAAAUCACUGCUUAAGCAAAGGUGAAAAUCUCAACAUCAAAACUGUAACAAAAAUCGAGCCUGUGUUGUUUUCGUUAAAACGAGUAAGACACUGUCAAAUAAAAACUGCCCUAAGCAAUUAUACAUUUUCCUCUCCUUUAUUUUAUGAGUCUAUGAAUCUUUUAUACAACCAUCUAGCAGUGUGUGUGUGUAUGUG
RNAcentral lists this small RNA (1609 nucleotides) under Rattus norvegicus (Norway rat). RNAcentral's name for it is "uncharacterized LOC108351964". Lineage: Eukaryota; Metazoa; Chordata; Mammalia; Rodentia; Muridae. The record is from RNAcentral.